UAUCCUGAUCGUAUCGUUAAAUACUGAUCGACGACUGUAACCACCAUUAUACAGAAAUCUUUUAUAGCUAUGGCGUAAACGUGGGUGAUAGCCACUGGGCAUAUUUUCGACUUCGCCAGAACUCGUACAUAGUUUCGAGCAACAUACGAUCGUUUCGUUUCCUCAUACCAUAAAUACAAACCAUAACAUAUCUAACAAACAACGUAGUAUAAUGUACAUAACACCAUUAAAAUAAACUUCGUACUUGUUUAUUCACGCGCGCGCGUUAACUAAAGAACAUUAGUUUGUGCGCAGUUUUGUGCGCAGUUUUAUUUCGUGCGCAUGCUCAUGCGCACGCGCUUUUAAUAUAUUUUCUUUUACAUGAAUACAUCGAAUCGGAAGAUGGAAGUAUUCUUUGCAAAAUUUAUGCUGAACCAUAUUUUUUACCAACGAUGAGAUAAACACAUGGAUUUAUACAUAUAUAUAUUUUUCGCAUGUGCGUACACGUGACAAUUUGCUUACUUGAAAAUACUCCUAUACUUUGAAUGAUUAAAGCCUAGUUUUUAUGGUUUACGAGCCUCAUAACCUGUUUUUUAUGCGAUAUUAGCAUAACAAUGAAGUAAUAAACUAAAUCAACCUGUGAUAAUUGCUAUAUAGAGCAAGUAAUAUUAUGGAAGAUUCAUAAAUAUGCACAACAGUGGUUCCCAUGAUUAUUCUUAAUAUACGAUGAUAAUGAUUAUGGCAGUGAAACGCUAAAGUUCAUUGUACAAUGUUACAACAAAAAAAAAAAGAAAGAACGAGCAAGAGCAAAAAAAAAAUUAUCUUCAGCUUGAGAAAUAUAUAGAUCGAAACUGUACAAAAUAAUAAUACCAUCGAUCAAGCGGUACGGAACGAUCACGCGAAAGUAAGAAAUAUCUUCCACCGUACAAUUUUCCCCAUCGACGAAUGAUGCAGGUUCGUUGAUCUGAAUUCGAAUGAAGAUGUGAUUCAUGUAUUUCAAUCAUUCGAUGCAACAUUCUCUAUAUAGAUAAAACCUGUUCGUUUGAAAAUAUAUGCGUUUCUAGAGACUUUGAGGAAUGCAAGUCUCAUGUUAAAAACACGAAGGAUCGAAUACAUUCAAUGUAUUUUUAUUCAAACGAUAUUCUUGUCAUUUGAUAAAGAUAGACAAGUAAGUAUCAUUAAAGCGUGAUUGAUGUCUCAUAGUAAUACAAUCUUGAAUUAUUAUUAGUAUGAGGAAGCGGGUAUUUGAAAAAAAAAAAAAAAAGUCUGAAGCAAUUGUUGUGGAUAAGUAAAUACAAUUUAUUAUUGGCGUCAAUCACUUUUUAUGCUUGAACUUAUGUUAAAAAUAUUGAUUAAUUAUUUUAACCAAAUAAUUCACUUUAUUAUAUUUUUUAAUCAGAUGUUUUUAUCAACUUAUUCGAUUUUCUAUGAUCAUCUUAUACAUUAUCUUUGUUAUUCUUAUUUAAACGAUUCUCAUUUUAAAUUUCAUUAAAAUAAUCAAUCAAUCAAUUCUUCGAAUGUGACCGAGAACAUGAUUUACAUAGAUACAUUCAAAGCCACAUUCUUGCGCUUGAAAUUCCACAAAGUAAUCAUACCUAGAUUCUCCCGUUCUCCGAAUCCUCCGCCUCCGGCUUCACACAGGUGCACCUGCAACAACACAAAUAAGCCUUUAGAUUAUAGUAUUCUACCUGUGCGAGCGGCUUGAUUCCGCACCAAAUACCAGGAAUCGAACGUACGCGAAUACUUGUAUAUGUGUGGAUGCAAAAGAAUGAUAUAAAAAAUUUGAAAAGAACAAUAAUCGUACUCGCGUUCAAAUAAGAUGGAUGCGGUAAGAUUGUGCAAAAGCACGUUGCUUUCCGCAACAUUGAAUUUUGCCGCAAUAUCCCCAACAAAGAGGACGAUAAUUUUUCGCGCUACGAUCUUCUGAUUGCGAGUACGAAAAAAUAUCCUGCAAAAUAUCAUUAGAAAUAAUAGGAGAAACGGCGUACACAAAUUCUCUUGAUAAGUAUAUAAAGUUUCGAUAUGCGAAAAGAAAAAUGAAUUGGCGAACGAUAUCGACAUCGAAGAAGAACGCACUGUGUAUUUGCGUGUAUGUACGUGCAUGUGUUCGCGCUUGUUCUCUCCCACUAUCCACAAUCUGAAAGGAGCGCGAACUCUCAAUAAAACCGCUCUACUUCGACAAAUCGCCUUAAUUUCAUCGUCAAUAAGCCCGAGAAACCCGCGCCAAGUAUGCCGAUCACCGUCUCUAUACACCGUGACUCUGUUACGCGACCGCUGUGCAUGCGCUUGUAUGCGCGUAUAUACGACUUACAUAGACGGUGGGGGCACACACGCGCAGUAUGGCAUGCCGUUGGUGCAAGCCGCGUGAGCGAGUUUAACGAAUCUGAAGCAGAGAGAGAAAGAGAAAGAGAGAAAGAGAGGGAGGGAGAGAGAGAGAGAAGAGAGUGAGGCGGGCGUCUCGGUCGAGUAUUCCAGGUUAAUUUUACCGAGCCCUAAGGAGCGCAUGCGAAGGACCGGCGAAGGAUAACGCUAGCGGGGCUCAUCGGUUGGACGCUGCUCGAAGCGAACGAAGGACGCCCGCAUUCCACGCCGCAACCUGGUAUAAUACGAGGAAUUGGCCGAACAGAGCGAGAGAGGGACAGAGAGGCUAAGAACGGGCUUUUUCUGCAUCGGAGAAAGAAGACGAACGGAUCACAAGCGAGACAAAGAGGAAGAGGAAGACGAAGAAAGAUGAAAGAGGGAGACGUAUACAUAGAAAAAGAGAAGGAAUCACAGUGAAGCAACCAAGGAGAGGCGAGGAGUUGUGUCUGCAUCAUUCCUCUCUCUCUCUCUCUCUCUUUUCUCUUUCAUCCGCUUUCCCCUCGUAAUCAUUCCUCCACCAUUCCAUUCCUUUAUCUCCUUAUUCGUUUCAUUCUAGUCUCUCUAUACACGAUAUACUUCUACAUACUCUUCUUCAUGUUCGUUAGUCUCUUCUUUAUCUCUUACUCUUUAUUACUCGUCUUUUUAUCCAUCCCUAUCUCUUCCUCUCGUUCCUUCUCCACUUUCAUCUUUUUCUUCGUCCCAUCCUCGUCUUCCCUUCUUUCUUUGUCCUCGUUCCUCUUUCCUCGCCCCACUGUUUGCGUAUGCGUGCGUGUACGUGUAUGGACUCGGUUGAACCGCGUGCCUCCAGCGGAAGUAAAUCACCACAGCGUGCACACGCUGGUAUCUCUCCACAAGAGCGUUCUAUACAGUUUCAGCCGGCGUUCCUUCCUUCGUACGAGAGCGCGUAACUGGGAUUCCUCGUUUUGCGAGCAGGCAGCUGCAACUGGGUAGCCGCACUGGAGUAGGUUAUCGCCGUCGUGAGUCGUGGCUUUCACCACUUUGCCGGCCACGUCGCGUUCUCUCGCGCGCCGACAGUCACGAUGACAAGAGAAACGGAAGGUUACACGGGGCCCUCCACCGUUUCUUUUCCCCCUGAUUGCCCGUGAUUUCGGAUUAGAUAAGCGGUGUGGAAUUUCGAUGCCUGCCGGGGCUUUAACACAACUCGCUUGCCUCGACCCGUAGAAUUGUUAUACCAAUAUUUUCAACUCUCGUAAAGCUUUCGUAAAAUUUACAUAAAAAUAUUUUACAAAAUAUUUUUCUUCCAUAUAUGAAUAAUUAUGGAUAAUUAUUUCGUAGAUCUAUCUGACGCUUGAAUUAAAUCUGCGGAAAAAUAUAGAUUGUUGUUAAAAAUACGAUUGAGAAUGCGAAAGAAUUUAAUGAUGUGAAACAGAUAUUUAUAAAUAAAUUGGCCUCGAUUUUCUUUUUGCUUUA
Apis mellifera (honey bee) is the source of this 3771-nucleotide long non-coding RNA. RefSeq lists it as uncharacterized. Lineage: Eukaryota; Metazoa; Arthropoda; Insecta; Hymenoptera; Apidae. The transcript is spliced from 4 exons. The record is from RefSeq and is a predicted model, not a curated record.